Hibiscus syriacus is the source of this 715-nucleotide long non-coding RNA. RefSeq lists it as uncharacterized. NCBI's taxonomy places the organism in Eukaryota, Viridiplantae, Streptophyta, Magnoliopsida, Malvales, Malvaceae. The transcript is spliced from 3 exons. The record is from RefSeq and is a predicted model, not a curated record.
GGCAUCAGUUUUUACUCUUUGGUCAGCUAAUACUUACCAAGCAACAGCUCUCAACUGAAACUGUCUCUCAAGUUAUCACCAAAAAGAGUUAAUUCGAUGGUAUUCCAGACAGAACAAAAGAUUUGUCUGAUGGUUCUGCAUCUGCUCUGGAGAAUCAAUAUUCUCCAGCGAAGUCAUCGACUGCUGGAAUUUUGUGGAACCGGAACUAUCGGAUUACAGAAUUCUGCCUGGAUACUGGUCAUUGCAAGGUAUUCUUAGAGUCAGACGACGUGGGACGAACCCUUGACCUCUCGGUUCUUGGUUCAUAUGAAGAGCUAUACCUGAAAUUAGCCAACAUAUUUGGAGUAGAAAGGUCAGAGAUGUUAGGCCAUGUGUUGGACCAAGAUGCGACCGGUGCUUUCAAACAAAUUGGGGAUGAACCAUUCAGUGCUUUAUGAAGACAGCCAAAAGAUUGACAAUAAGGAUGGAUUCAGGCAACGAUACUGUUGGAAGGUCACAGCUCACGGUAAUUCAGACUACUGAAAAUGGACCAAAUAAGAGAGGUCCUUGAGCAUAUUUGCAUGAUUCUGAGCAGCCAUUGUCGAUGAUAAGCACGCGUGAGAUAUUUCCAGAAUCCAUAGAACAAUCUUGAAAACCUUUGUUUAGCUCCUCUUAGGGCAUGUCUGUAAUAUAUAGGUUUCUUGUCCGCGGGAUCGCAUUUAUGUUUCAAAAAAGA